UCCCUGGUGGCUUAGCUGAUAAAGAAUCUGCUUGCAAUGUGGGAGACCUGGGUUCAAUUCCUGGAUGGGGAA
This is a non-coding RNA of Bos taurus (domestic cattle), 72 nucleotides long. The record is from Rfam. Lineage: Eukaryota; Metazoa; Chordata; Mammalia; Artiodactyla; Bovidae.